Molecule: RNase P RNA, 330 nt
Filed under: human gut metagenome
Also listed under: 1 other name
Description: Bacterial RNase P class A
Rfam family: Bacterial RNase P class A
About the family: Ribonuclease P (RNase P) is a ubiquitous endoribonuclease, found in archaea, bacteria and eukarya as well as chloroplasts and mitochondria. Its best characterised activity is the generation of mature 5'-ends of tRNAs by cleaving the 5'-leader elements of precursor-tRNAs. Cellular RNase Ps are ribonucleoproteins.
Source: RNAcentral
AGGUGACUAGACGAUCGCGUGCCCCUUGCGGGUAUGAGGAAAGUCCGAGCACCAUAGGGCAAGGGUGCCGGUUAACGGCCGGUGGAGGCGACUCCAAGGAAAGUGCAACAGAGAUACACCGCCAGCGCUUGCGCUGGUAAGGCUGGAAAGGCGAGGUAAGAGCUCACCCGCGGCUUGGCGACUUGUCCGCGAUGUAAACCCCACCCGGUGCAAGGUCGGCAUAGAGGCACAUGCGGCGGCCCGUCGCGUCUCUUACGACCGCUUGAGCCCGCGCGGUAACGCCGGGCCUGGAUAGAUGAUCGUCCACGACAGAACUCGGCUUAUCGGUCA